GAGAUAUUUAAGCUGGGGCGGUGUGUGCUCAUGCUUAUGAAGAGUGUAUUUUGACCAGGUGACAUUCACAACCCAAGAUCCUGAUUGUGGACCAGAGGUGAACUUCCAAGUUCAGAGAAAUGCCAGGUCUGGGUCAUGCCUGUGGAAAUCAUUAGGAUCCUGACAAAUGACUGAUGUGAUUAGAGCUCGGAGCUCCGUGUGGAGGCGGGCCAAGUCAGGAGUAGCUACUCAGGAAUACAUCUGUUAAUUCCUUGUUGAGAGUGCUCCUGGACAGACCGACAGACAAUAAGAAUGAUGAGGCAUAAG
Long non-coding RNA from Anguilla anguilla (European eel), 306 nucleotides. RefSeq lists it as uncharacterized. Lineage: Eukaryota; Metazoa; Chordata; Actinopteri; Anguilliformes; Anguillidae. The record is from RefSeq and is a predicted model, not a curated record. The transcript is spliced from 3 exons.